This 497-nucleotide ribosomal RNA is filed under the name uncultured bacterium. Its description in RNAcentral is "partial 16S ribosomal RNA". It matches the Rfam family "Bacterial small subunit ribosomal RNA", at positions 28 to 507 of the family's 1533-position model. The record is from RNAcentral.
GACGAACGCUGGCGGCGUGCCUAAUACAUGCAAGUAGAACGCUGAAGCGAGGAGCUUGCUCUUCUUGGAUGAGUUGCGAACGGGUGAGUAACGCGUAGGUAACCUGCCUUGUAGCGGGGGAUAACUAUUGGAAACGAUAGCUAAUACCGCAUAACAAUGGAUGACACAUGUCAUUUAUUUGAAAGGGGCAAUUGCUCCACUACAAGAUGGACCUGCGUUGUAUUAGCUAGUAGGUGAGGUAAUGGCUCACCUAGGCGACGAUACAUAGCCGACCUGAGAGGGUGGUCGGCCACACUGGGACGGAGACACGGCCCAGACUCCUACGGGAGGCAGCAGUAGGGAAUCUUCGGCAAUGGGGGCAACCCUGACCGAGCAACGCCGCGUGAGUGAAGAAGGUUUUCGGAUCGUAAAGCUCUGUUGUAAGUCAAGAAAGGGUGUGAGAGUGGAAAGUUCACACUGUGACGGUAGCUUACCAGAAAGGGACGGCUAACUACGUG